CAGCAGCCGCCUCUCAGCCACGGGCUGCACACUGACCCGACGCGACCUUCGGUCAGGGGCCGCCAGCCUGGGCCACCUAUACAACGACAGCCUGCUCUGGGGCUUCCUGAGGAGGUGCCUGCCCCGCCGAGGUUCAACAGCUUUGGAGAGCAGGACAUCUUUUCCUCUCAGCCUGGCCCUCUGCAAUGGAGGCCAUAAAUAGGCCAGUAGUGGAAGCUACAGAACACGUGAGCAUGGCAGGGGCUGAGCUCCAUUUCAAGAUAUGGGUAAGAGGAGGGAUGCUGUUGCCUUGGAGCUGCCAGGCUGCAUGGCAGACAAGCAGGAUUCCUGCUGCCUCCCAUGGAGACUACACUGGAACGCAGGUCUUGCCCUGUCAUCCAGGCUGGAGUGCAAUGGAUCUUGGAUCACUG
RNAcentral lists this long non-coding RNA (410 nucleotides) under Pan troglodytes (chimpanzee). RNAcentral describes it as "long non-coding RNA NONPTRT009753". The record is from RNAcentral. Lineage: Eukaryota; Metazoa; Chordata; Mammalia; Primates; Hominidae.